This is an RNA transcript of Eleginops maclovinus (Patagonian blennie), 4800 nucleotides long. It is a transcript of the gene named calponin homology domain-containing protein DDB_G0272472-like, with no coding region annotated. The transcript has 6 exons. NCBI's taxonomy places the organism in Eukaryota, Metazoa, Chordata, Actinopteri, Perciformes, Eleginopidae. The record is from RefSeq and is a predicted model, not a curated record.
CUCCAGUCGCUUCAGUGCAGUCUGACGGUGAACCCAUGAUACACUUCACCGCGUCUUGGAGUUCAUUUCUCUGCAAUAUCGAUCCAGCAACUCAGCAUGUCUCUAGCGGAUCUGCAGUGGUGUCCCACAAGCGUCCAGGUAACGGUACUCCAAUCCAGAGGCCUCCGGAUAAAGGGGAAAAACGGUACCAAUGAUGCGUACGCUAUCAUGCAAGUGGGCAAGGAGAAGUUCCAGACCUCGGUGGUGGAAAAGAGCGUGGCCCCGGUGUGGAAGGAGGAGGCGGCCUUCGACCUGCCGCCGCCGCAGCUGCAGCUGCAGGCGGGCAGAGGAGGCACGGAGCGGGGCACGCUGCAUGUCCACAUCUUGCACCGGGCCCUGGUGGGACCGGACAAACUCCUGGGACAGGCUGUCAUCAACCUGUUGGAGCUCAGCGAGGACAAGACCCGCAACAAAACCGAAUGGUUCAAGUUGCUAGACAAAACUGGCAAGGCCGACAAAGACAGAGGAGAGGUUCUUGUGGACAUCCAGUUCAUGAGAAACAACAUGACGGCCAGCAUGUUCGACCUCUCUGCUGCCGGCAAAUCCAAAUCUCGUCUCGGCAAGUUCAAGGACAAAGUUCGCGGCAAGAAAAAGGAAUCCGACGCUACGUCUAACGUGGUGCCGUCCUUCAGUCAAGUCCUGACAGACAGCGAGGAGGAGGGGAGCGGUGAGGCUACUGCGGGCAAGGAGGAUAAAAAGAAGAAACACAAGAUGAAGUCUUUGUUUUCUACCAAGUCCAACCUGCAGAGGAACAUGUCUCAGUCCAUGUCCAUUCUGCCCGCGAAGAACUCCUCGCUGAGCGGCAGCCAGUCGUCUGGACUGAACGUGGAUUCGUCUGAAGGUAAAAAGAAGUUCAAGUUCAUGAUACACAAGCGCUCAGGCAGCUCGGACAGUAAAGACUCCUCCUCCAGUCAUCAGAAACACGUUGCUGCUGAACAGAGUAAUCUGUGCAUCAAUGGCAGCCAUGUUUACUGUGAGGAUCUUCCGCCCCGGACGUCUCGCAUCGGAUCAAACUUCAGCCUAACCAGCUCAGGACACGGGUCCAUGGAGGAUGUCCCAGAAAGCUCUCCACCAUCUGUUGAUUCACUGAGAGCCGUGAGGCAGUAUUCACCAUGGACAGAGGAGGAGGAGGAAGAAGAAAACCUAAAAGAGGAUGUGGAGGAACAAAGAGGAGAAGAAGAAAGGAUUAUGAUGGAGGAAGAAAGACGUAAGAAACAAGAGGAAGAGGACAGGGUUAGGAAUCAGGAACAAGAGCUUGAGAGGUUGGCAGAGGAGAACAGACAAGAGGAAGAAAAAAGGAGGGAAGAAAAGGGAAGGGAAGAAGAGAGAGUUAGAAAGGUGGAAGAGGACAGGAUUAGGAGGGAGCAGGAAGAAAGAGCUCAUGAAGAGAGGAGACGACAAGAGGAAGAAGAGAGAGAAAGAUUAGCAGGGGAAAAGAGGAGACAAGAGGAACGAGAAAGAAUUGAAGAAGACAAAGUUAGAAAGGAGGAAGAGGAGAGGAUUAAGAUGGAGGAGAAAGAAAGAGCUCAGGAAGAGAGAAGACUACAAGAGGAAGAAGAGAGGGAAAGAUUAGCGGAGGAAAGGAGGAGAAAAGAGGAACAAGAAAGGAUCGAAGAAGAGAAAGUUAGAAAGGAGGAAGAGGAGAGGAUUAAGAUGGAGGAGGAAAGGGCUGAGGAAGAGACGAGACGAGAAGAAAAGGAGAGAGCGAGGAGACAAGAAGAGGAGUGUAAAUUAGCAGAGGAAAAAAGGAGACUGGAGGAAGAAGAACAAAGACAGAUUGAAGAGGAGGAACUUAGAAAGGAGGAAGAGAAAAGUAUUAGGAGGAAGCAGGAGAGGGCUGAAGAAGAAAAGAGGAAACAAGUGGAAGAGGAGAUGGUGAGAAAGCAAGAGGAGGAAAAGAAGAGACUUGAGGAACAGGAAAAUAUGCAAAGGGAGGAAGAGGGCAGGAUUAGGAUGGAGGAGGAAAGAGCUCAGGAGGAGAGGAGACGAAAAGAGGAAGAGGAGUUAGCAAGGAGAGAACAACAGUGUACAUUAGCAGAGGAAAAGAGAAGACUAGAGGAAGAAAGAAUCAAACAGGAGAUGUUAAGAAAGGAGAAAGAGGAGAGGAUAAGGAGGGAGAAGGAAAAGGCUGAAGAAGAGGGGAGACAGCGAGAGAAAGAAGAGAUGCUGAGAAGAGAAGAAAAGGAGCAUGAGGAACACAAAAGGAGGCAAAGGGAGGAAGAGGAAAGAAUAAAGAAAGAAGAGAAGGAAAAGGAAGAAUAUGAGGAAAAAUGUAGACGAGAGGAGGAAGAAAUGAAAAAAAUGAAACAGGAGGAGGAGGAAAUGAUAAGAUUGGAGAAAGAGAUGAGGAGGAAAGAAGAAGAGUACAAGCAGUUGACAGAAGAAAAGCGGCAACUGGAAGAACAAGAGAGGAAGAGGAUUGAGGAAGAAGAAAAAAGGCAAAGGGAUGAAGAGGAAAGGAUUAACAAAGAGGAACAGAGAGCUAAGAAGGAAAAGGAAGAAUAUGAAAGACUGUUAGAGGAACAAAUUAGACAAGAAACAAAACGGAUUGAGGAAGAGGAGAAAUUUAAACGAGAGGAAGAGGAGAGGAUUAGGAUGGAGGAGAACGCUCAGAAGGAUAGAGAAGAAAAGCAGGCGAGGAAGCUGAAGGAAGAGAAGGCAACACAGGAAGAAAAACAAAAGAAGAAGGAUGAAACUCAAAACAGACACAAAGCUGCCGGAAAGAAAGUGGCUGUGGAGAUUCCUGUAGAAGUCUGUUCCAAUCCGUUUGAUACAAACUUUUCAACUAAUCCCUUUGAAGAGGAUCUAGUCUCACCGGCUGGACCAGACAGCAGCACAGACAAGAUGUCAACCAUCAAGGAGAGGGUUCAAUCUGCUGCACCAUUGGUGGGAAGCAAGGCUAUUUCUACAGAUGAAAAGGAUCCUAUUAGUACUGAGCGGGAGAGGAGGCCUGCUCCUCAGCCUCCAGGAAGGAAUCAUGAAGAGAGACCCAGUCAGAAGGAGCAGAAUGGAUCUGCACAACAACUGGCACACAUUUCCAAGAAGAGUUCAGACAAAGGCAUCAAAACCGUCAGUGUUCUCCCUCAGCGCUCGGUGCAAAUGAUUGCUCCUCUUAGUAGGCCUUCCACAGACACAAACAACACCCGGAGCUUGACACAAAGUAGUGCCACCAAAGAAACAUCAAAUGAAGCCAAACACAGUAAACGCCCUGCACCGUUGAGACCUCCAUCUGUGGAAGAAGAACCAUCAUCUAAACCCAAGACAACCCUGUCUUCUGAUGGCAACAAUUCCCAUAAAUGCAUCUCUGUGGCAAAACAAGUCCCAAUCGCUUAUGGCUUAAAUCCAUUUGAGGACGAUGAAGAUGAUAUUGCAGCCAAAGAUGAAGCAGUGCCCUCUGCUGAAACUGGUUCAGUACAAAAGCCUCCAGUAGCGUCACAAGCUGCUGAUAAAGAUGCUGCCUCUCAAACUAAAACCCAAUCUUCAAAAGCCCGUGCUCCUCUACCCUCUGCAAAGAAAGCUGCCAAAUUGAGCACUUUAAUAAACCAAAAAACAGAAGGAGACCAUGUUACAGCACCAUGUGACCCCAAGUCAGAAGCCAAAAAUGCUCUGCAUAUCCAGGAAGCUAACCUUCGAGAGUCUCAGCCUGCAACAGUGCAGAGUAUUGGGGAGGCGGCAGGUGAGAAGAAAGACGGGCCUCUUGUACCUUUACGCAGCCAGUGCCUACAUCUUUCUUUCUUUUUGAUUGUGUCGUUGAAGGCUUCAACCUGUGAAACCCCUUAAUGCUCUGGAACAGCAGUCGGUUUCAGUCGUUCAAGGGGAAAGAGAUACCAAAUCCUCAAGAAUCAGAUGUGAAGAUCAGGAGCAAACCAAGGUCAAUGCCCCUGGUCUGAAAGGGCCCUACUCUCAGCUUACUCAGGAGGAACUCAUCUCCCUUGUGCUCAAACAGGAAAACCAGCUUUCAGAGAGAGACAAAAAGAUAUCAGAGCUUGAGCAGUACAUCGACAACUUGCUUGUGCGCAUCAUAGAGGAGCAGCCAAGUAUUCUCAUGUCCUUGAACUCGGCGAAGAAAACUGCCUAGGAUUUACAUCUGACACUUUAUUCCAUCUGUACCCUUCUCUGUUCAGACCCAGUAAUCUAGCAUUACCAAAAAAUAAAAUGUGAUGUUCUUGUGGAUUAAAUUAUAAAAGGUAGCUGGAGAAUCAAGGUUUGAAAUUUGGACUUCAUGUUCCCUAUACUGGCAGAUAAAUCUCGAACAUUAAAAUAUAUUUUGUAAAGGACAUCUUGCAGAAGCUAUUGCGUUUUUAUAUAACUUUUCUCCAAUAAUAAUGAGUACAAAGACAUUUUACAUUUUUCUAAAUAUUUAGUAAUGUUUUUAAAACUUUGCUGCAGUAUGUAAGACUAAUGAAUGAAUAUCUGUUAUGAAUGUUUUCAUGUUGAGCAUAAGAUUCUUUGAUAAAUGUCUAAUGUUGCUUAUAUGUCAAACUUAAUUACUGUAUUUCAUUUGAAAAAUAAAUAAAUAAAGUUUAAAAAACACCUUCCAGUUAUCUCCGUUAUGAAUAAGAGCCUUAUUUCACUGUCAGAUCUAUGCACCUGGUAUGCAGAUAAUGUUUAUUUUGUGUCAAUGUCAAAGUUUACAUGUUUCUACUAACUCUUAAAUGCACUUUACCCUGCUUGUACUAUUAACAUAAUGUACACUGAACUGCUGUACUGAUAUAUGUUAUCAACAUAUGCAGAAUGAAAUAAAUAGUUCUGAUAAACAAA